RNAcentral lists this ribosomal RNA (476 nucleotides) under uncultured bacterium. RNAcentral's name for it is "partial 16S ribosomal RNA". It matches the Rfam family "Bacterial small subunit ribosomal RNA", at positions 28 to 523 of the family's 1533-position model. The record is from RNAcentral.
GACGAACGCUGGCGGCGUGCUUAACACAUGCAAGUCGAACGGUAAGGCCUUCGGGUACACGAGUGGCGAACGGGUGAGUAACACGUGGGUGAUCUGCCCUGCACUUCGGGAUAAGCCUGGGAAACUUGGUCUAAUACCGGAUAUGACUUCUGGCUUCAUGGUUGGGAGUGGAAAGCUUUUGCGGUGUGGGAUGGGCCCGCGGCCUAUCAGCUUGUUGGUGGGGUAAUGGCCUACCAAGGCGACGACGGGUAGCCGGCCUGAGAGGGUGUCCGGCCACACUGGGACUGAGAUACGGCCCAGACUCCUACGGGAGGCAGCAGUGGGGAAUAUUGCACAAUGGGCGCAAGCCUGAUGCAGCGACGCCGCGUGGGGGAUGACGGCCUUCGGGUUGUAAACCUCUUUCAGUAGGGACGAAGCGCAAGUGACGGUACCUACAGAAGAAGCACCGGCCAACUACGUGCCAGCCGCCGCGGUAA